This 599-nucleotide ribosomal RNA is filed under the name uncultured bacterium. RNAcentral's name for it is "bacterial SSU rRNA". It matches the Rfam family "Bacterial small subunit ribosomal RNA", at positions 915 to 1509 of the family's 1533-position model. The record is from RNAcentral.
GGGGGCCCGCACAAGCGGCGGAGCAUGCGGAUUAAUUCGAUGCAACGCGAAGAACCUUACCAAGGCUUGACAUGGACCGGACCGGGCUGGAAACAGUCCUUCCCCUUUGGGGCCGGUUCACAGGUGGUGCAUGGUUGUCGUCAGCUCGUGUCGUGAGAUGUUGGGUUAAGUCCCGCAACGAGCGCAACCCUCGUUCCAUGUUGCCAGCGCGUAAUGGCGGGGACUCAUGGGAGACUGCCGGGGUCAACUCGGAGGAAGGUGGGGACGACGUCAAAUCAUCAUGCCCCUUAUGUCUUGGGCUUCACGCAUGCUACAAUGGCCGGUACAAAGGGUUGCGAUACUGUGAGGUGGAGCUAAUCCCAAAAAGCCGGUCUCAGUUCGGAUUGGGGUCUGCAACUCGACCCCAUGAAGUCGGAGUCGCUAGUAAUCGCAGAUCAGCAACGCUGCGGUGAAUACGUUCCCGGGCCUUGUACACACCGCCCGUCAAGUCACGAAAGUUGGUAACACCCGAAGCCGGUGGCCUAACCCCUUGUGGGAGGGAGCUGUCGAAGGUGGGACUGGCGAUUGGGACUAAGUCGUAACAAGGUAACCGUAAGGGC